CCUUAGAGUUUGAUCCUGGCUCAGGACGAACGCUGGCGGCGCGCCUAACACAUGCAAGUCGAACGAGCGAGAGAGAGCUUGCUUUCUCGAGCGAGUGGCGAACGGGUGAGUAACGCGUGAGGAACCUGCCUCAAAGAGGGGGACAACAGUUGGAAACGACUGCUAAUACCGCAUAAGCCCACAGUGCCGCAUGGCACAGAGGGAAAAGGAGCAAUCCGCUUUGAGAUGGCCUCGCGUCCGAUUAGCUAGUUGGUGAGGUAAUGGCCCACCAAGGCGACGAUCGGUAGCCGGACUGAGAGGUUGAACGGCCACAUUGGGACUGAGACACGACCCAGACUCCUACGGGAGGCAGCAGUGGGGAAUAUUGCACAAUGGGGGAAACCCUGAUGCAGCGACGCCGCGUGGAGGAAGAAGGUCUUCGGAUUGUAAACUCCUGUUGUUGAGGAAGAUAAUGACGGUACUCAACAAGGAAGUGACGGCUAACUACGUGCCAGCAGCCGCGGUAAAACGUAGGUCACAAGCGUUGUCCGGAAUUACUGGGUGUAAAGGGAGCGCAGGCGGGAAGACAAGUUGGAAGUGAAAUCCAUGGGCUCAACCCAUGAACUGCUUUCAAAACUGUUUUUCUUGAGUAGUGCAGAGGUAGGCGGAAUUCCCGGUGUAGCGGUGGAAUGCGUAGAUAUCGGGAGGAACACCAGUGGCGAAGGCGGCCUACUGGGCACCAACUGACGCUGAGGCUCGAAAGUGUGGGUAGCAAACAGGAUUAGAUACCCUGGUAGUCCACACCGUAAACGAUGAUUACUAGGUGUUGGAGGAUUGACCCCUUCAGUGCCGCAGUUAACACAAUAAGUAAUCCACCUGGGGAGUACGACCGCAAGGUUGAAA
This 882-nucleotide ribosomal RNA is filed under the name uncultured bacterium. RNAcentral's name for it is "bacterial SSU rRNA". It matches the Rfam family "Bacterial small subunit ribosomal RNA", at positions 1 to 899 of the family's 1533-position model. The record is from RNAcentral.